CUCCGUGUAGGUCAGCCCGGUAGACCGCUUGCUUUGGGAGCAAGAUGUCGGUGGUUCAAAUCCACCCAUGGAGACCA
This 77-nucleotide transfer RNA is filed under the name Shewanella algae. RNAcentral's name for it is "tRNA-Pro". It matches the Rfam family "tRNA". Rfam says of the family: Transfer RNA (tRNA) molecules are approximately 80 nucleotides in length. The record is from RNAcentral. Lineage: Bacteria; Pseudomonadati; Pseudomonadota; Gammaproteobacteria; Alteromonadales; Shewanellaceae.